CAGGAAGGCUGUGGCUGUCCAAAGUCCUCCAGGGCGCCUUGGGGCUGUGCAGGCACAAGCCGACCUGGACAGCAAUGGAAACCCUAACUAAGACAAUCAUGGAUAAAGGCAAGCAUUAUCCAUUCUAUACACCAAGAAGAUAACUCAACAAAGUUAAGAAGUGGAGGAAAUAGGAGGUGUGGCGAGUCCAGGUUGGGAACUGUUCAGCAAGCAGCCAUCCAGACGACACAGGUGUGAACUCAGAGGCCGGAAGCAGCAUCAUACGCCACAGCCAGAAGGAUCAGAAGUUCCGGAGCAGGACAUUAUUGUGAGCCUGGCUGUGACCCUCUGCUCCAUCUCAAUGACACGGAUGGUAGAGCAUUGGGGAACCGUACAGACCCACAAUAGACGGUUGCCAGGUAACUAGCAGCUGGAGGGACUGCUGGGCACGAUCUUCAGAGCAUGGCAGAACCUAUGGUGUUGCAGCAGGGAAAGGACUCUUCAAUUGGUAGGAGCCACAGAGUCCAGAAUUCAGGAUUUGCUAAGGAAGGCCUUGGUGAAGGGAUGUGAUUUUCCAGUCUACACAGCUGCUACUCUAGAUCACACGAGCAAUUUUAAACCAUCCAAAAACACCAUCCAGAAAUACCAGAAACCGAUUCAUUGAGCUGUCAAAUAUGUCUAACAACCAGCACCCCCAAAAUAAUCCACAGAAGCACCAUAUAUGGUUUCUUUUCUGUGCACGCUCACUGCACAGCUGCUGGAGACAGGCAUUAGGCUGCACCAGUGAUAGCAGUAUUGUGGGAGCCUCCACUACCUUCUGGACUGUUCCCUGAAGUUAUGUCUUAGGCACCAAACUCCACUUUCACGCCUUGGGCUAUAGAGUUAAUGGGCUAGACCUUGGGCAGCACCGGCUUCUAGGCUUACAGCGCAGCAUUUUCUCUGACAAAUGACUGGCAGUGCUGUGUGGAUCCCUUCAGGUGUCAAACCGGAAGUCCUGCUCCUGCACGCAAGCUUGUCCCGCAUCCUUCUCCUGAAUCCGGAGCCACAGAGUCUUUGAUCGCCUCUUUCUGUUGCAAGCAUUAUCGUGUGUUCAUUUCUCAAUACCACGCAGAGGAGCUUAAAUACCAAAACACCGCCUCAGUUGUCUUGUUCCUGGUCUUGUUUGCAGAACUGAAGACAAUGUCAAGUCAUAGCUCUUACCCAAUAAAAGUUCAGGGUGCAAAUUAUAUUACCCCUGAGUCUUGUAA
Long non-coding RNA from Apodemus sylvaticus (European woodmouse), 1226 nucleotides. RefSeq lists it as uncharacterized. The transcript is spliced from 3 exons. Lineage: Eukaryota; Metazoa; Chordata; Mammalia; Rodentia; Muridae. The record is from RefSeq and is a predicted model, not a curated record.